This 76-nucleotide transfer RNA is filed under the name Candidatus Latescibacterota bacterium. RNAcentral's name for it is "tRNA-Thr". It matches the Rfam family "tRNA". From Rfam's summary of the family: Transfer RNA (tRNA) molecules are approximately 80 nucleotides in length. Their secondary structure includes four short double-helical elements and three loops (D, anti-codon, and T loops). Further hydrogen bonds mediate the characteristic L-shaped molecular structure. tRNAs have two regions of fundamental functional importance: the anti-codon, which is responsible for specific mRNA codon recognition, and the 3' end, to which the tRNAs corresponding amino acid is attached (by aminoacyl-tRNA synthetases). tRNAs cope with the degeneracy of the genetic code in two manners: having more than one tRNA (with a specific anti-codon) for a particular amino acid; and 'wobble' base-pairing, i.e. permitting non-standard base-pairing at the 3rd anti-codon position. Lineage: Bacteria; Pseudomonadati; Candidatus Latescibacterota. The record is from RNAcentral.
GCCGCCCUAGCUCAGAUGGUAGAGCAACUCACUCGUAAUGAGUAGGUCUCCGGUUCGAUUCCGGAGGGCGGCUCCA